Molecule: ribosomal RNA, 245 nt
Filed under: uncultured bacterium
Lineage: Bacteria
Description: partial 16S ribosomal RNA
Rfam family: Bacterial small subunit ribosomal RNA
Source: RNAcentral
UACGUAGGUGGCGAGCGUUGUCCGGAUUUAUUGGGCGUAAAGCGCGCGCAGGUGGUGCGCUAAGUCCGUCGUGAAAUCGCCCGGCUCAACUGGGCGGGUGCGGCGGGGACUGGCGGACUGGAGGCACUCAGAGGCCGGUGGAAUUCCCGGUGUAGUGGUGAAAUGCGUAGAGAUCGGGAGGAACACCAGUGGCGAAGGCGGCCGGCUGGGGGUGACCUGACGCUGAGGCGCGAAAGCGUGGGGAG